UCUUCUGAAACUCAGUAGUGAGUGCUUGCCUGGCAUGCACAAGGCCCUGGGUUCGAUCCCCAGUACAGGAA
RNAcentral lists this transfer RNA (71 nucleotides) under Heterocephalus glaber (naked mole-rat). It matches the Rfam family "tRNA". From Rfam's summary of the family: Transfer RNA (tRNA) molecules are approximately 80 nucleotides in length. Their secondary structure includes four short double-helical elements and three loops (D, anti-codon, and T loops). The record is from Rfam by way of RNAcentral. Lineage: Eukaryota; Metazoa; Chordata; Mammalia; Rodentia; Bathyergidae.